Zalophus californianus (California sea lion) is the source of this 469-nucleotide long non-coding RNA. RefSeq lists it as uncharacterized. The transcript has 3 exons. The record is from RefSeq and is a predicted model, not a curated record. Lineage: Eukaryota; Metazoa; Chordata; Mammalia; Carnivora; Otariidae.
CCUCUAGAACCCUCGGUUUGUUUUUCAGAGUCCAUCAUCUCUCAUGGUUCGUCUCUUGAUGGCAUUGCACAACAGCGCCAUGAUUCUCAGUCCAAAGAAGGGCAGAAGAGAUAAAGUUGUUGGGUCACAUGGAUUGCAGAGCAGGGAGAGGAGAGAGGACUAAGGAGAGGGAUAAGGAGAGAGAGGGAGAGAUGUAUCAUUCAGGCGAGUCUCCAGUGGACCCUCCAGUUUUCAAGAACAGCAGAUCUAUUCAGAGCAAGAACGUGAUAUAUGGUGAUCCAAGGGUUUAUGGUAACCAGGAGGCAGCAUGAGUGUGGAUAAAGUUGGCAUGCUGAGAAUUAAAGCAGAGUAAAACAGAGAACCUGCUUCUGCCUUACUCCUCUGUACUUCUCUUGCUCUAUGAGAGAAACUCCUUCCUGCUGAAGCCAUAUUGGGGCAAAUUUUCAGAUCACUUUCCUUCCUAAUAAAG